RNAcentral lists this unclassified non-coding RNA (206 nucleotides) under Hevea brasiliensis (rubber tree). The record is from RNAcentral. Lineage: Eukaryota; Viridiplantae; Streptophyta; Magnoliopsida; Malpighiales; Euphorbiaceae.
GCUAUAGUGUCUCUUCGUUAUCAAAGAAUACACAUCCUUCAGAUCAGAGAUUCUGGAGAUCUUGUUGAUGUACGAGCAAUUGGGGAAUUCUGCCGUGAAGAUGAUGAACUUUUUCUCAAUUCCAAUUCCCAGGUGCUUGUAAAUCAUGUUGGAAAUGGUUUUCAUCAUAGUCUGCCUCAAUCAGAAACUUCUUUCCUGAGCGGUAU